This 272-nucleotide ribosomal RNA is filed under the name Providencia rettgeri. Its description in RNAcentral is "partial 23S ribosomal RNA". It matches the Rfam family "Bacterial large subunit ribosomal RNA", at positions 2659 to 2925 of the family's 2925-position model. Lineage: Bacteria; Pseudomonadati; Pseudomonadota; Gammaproteobacteria; Enterobacterales; Morganellaceae. The record is from RNAcentral.
AGAUUGAAAGGGGCUGCUCCUAGUACGAGAGGACCGGAGUGGACGCACCACUGGUGUUCGGGUUGUCAUGCCAAUGGCAUUGCCCGGUAGCUAAGUGCGGAAGAGAUAACCGCUGAAAGCAUCUAAGCGGGAAACUUGCCUUGAGAUGAGUCUUCCCUGACUCUUUAAGGGUCCUAAAGGAACGUUUAAGACUAAGACGUUGAUAGGUUGGGUGUGUAAGCGUAGCGAUACGUUGAGCUAACCAAUACUAAUGAACCGUGAGGCUUAACCUG